RNAcentral lists this ribosomal RNA (899 nucleotides) under Lophotrichus ampullus. RNAcentral describes it as "LSU rRNA". It matches the Rfam family "Eukaryotic large subunit ribosomal RNA", at positions 38 to 966 of the family's 3401-position model. Lineage: Eukaryota; Fungi; Ascomycota; Sordariomycetes; Microascales; Microascaceae. The record is from RNAcentral.
GCAUAUCAAUAAGCGGAGGAAAAGAAACCAACAGGGAUUGCCUAGUAACGGCGAGUGAAGCGGCAACAGCUCAAAUUUGAAAUCUGGUCCCUCGGGGCCCCGAGUUGUAAUUUGCAGAGGAUGCUUUUGGCGCGGUGCCUUCCGAGUGCCCUGGAACGGGACGCCACAGAGGGUGAGAGCCCCGUAUGGUCGGACACCAAGCCUAUGUAAAGCUCCUUCGACGAGUCGAGUAGUUUGGGAAUGCUGCUCAAAAUGGGAGGUAAACCCCUUCUAAAGCUAAAUACUGGCCAGAGACCGAUAGCGCACAAGUAGAGUGAUCGAAAGAUGAAAAGCACUUUGAAAAGAGAGUUAAAAAGCACGUGAAAUUGUUGAAAGGGAAGCGUUUGCGACCAGACUUGCGCCCGUCGGAUCAGCCGUCCCUCGUGGGCGGUGCACUCCGGCGGGCUCAGGCCAGCAUCAGUUCGCUGCAGGGGGAGAAAGGCGGCGGGAAUGUGGCUCUUCGGAGUGUUAUAGCCCGCCGCGUAAUACCCCUCGGCGGACUGAGGACCGCGCGUAAGCAAGGAUGCUGGCGUAAUGGUCGUCAGCGACCCGUCUUGAAACACGGACCAAGGAGUCGUCCUAAUAUGCGAGUGUUUGGGUGUCAAACCCCAGCGCGUAAUGAAAGUGAACGCAGGUGAGAGCUUCGGCGCAUCAUCGACCGAUCCUGAUGUUCUCGGAUGGAUUUGAGUACGAGCAUAUUGGGCCGGACCCGAAAGAAGGUGAACUAUGCCUGUAUAGGGUGAAGCCAGAGGAAACUCUGGUGGAGGCUCGCAGCGGUUCUGACGUGCAAAUCGAUCGUCAAAUAUGGGCAUGGGGGCGAAAGACUAAUCGAACCUUCUAGUAGCUGGGUUCCGCCGAAG